RNAcentral lists this ribosomal RNA (465 nucleotides) under Vreelandella stevensii. RNAcentral's name for it is "partial 16S ribosomal RNA". It matches the Rfam family "Bacterial small subunit ribosomal RNA", at positions 338 to 795 of the family's 1533-position model. The record is from RNAcentral. Lineage: Bacteria; Pseudomonadati; Pseudomonadota; Gammaproteobacteria; Oceanospirillales; Halomonadaceae.
CCUACGGGAGGCUGCAGUGGGGAAUAUUGGACAAUGGGGGCAACCCUGAUCCAGCCAUGCCGCGUGUGUGAAGAAGGCCCUCGGGUUGUAAAGCACUUUCAGUGAGGAAGAACGCCUGGUGGUUAAUACCCAUCAGGAAAGACAUCACUCACAGAAGAAGCACCGGCUAACUCCGUGCCAGCAGCCGCGGUAAUACGGAGGGUGCGAGCGUUAAUCGGAAUUACUGGGCGUAAAGCGCGCGUAGGUGGCUUGAUAAGCCGGUUGUGAAAGCCCCGGGCUCAACCUGGGAACGGCAUCCGGAACUGGCAAGCUAGAGUGCAGGAGAGGAAGGUAGAAUUCCUGGUGUAGCGGUGAAAUGCGUAGAGAUCGGGAGGAAUACCAGUGGCGAAGGCGGCCUUCUGGACUGACACUGACACUGAGGUGCGAAAGCGUGGGUAGCAAACAGGAUUAGAUACCCGUGUAGUC